RNAcentral lists this small nucleolar RNA (177 nucleotides) under Jaculus jaculus (lesser Egyptian jerboa). RNAcentral describes it as "Small nucleolar RNA SNORA73 family (ENSJJAG00000004629.1)". It matches the Rfam family "Small nucleolar RNA SNORA73 family". From Rfam's summary of the family: U17 (SNORA73A and SNORA73B) also known as E1 belongs to the H/ACA class of small nucleolar RNAs (snoRNAs). Vertebrate U17 is intron-encoded and ranges in length from 200-230 nucleotides, longer than most snoRNAs. Lineage: Eukaryota; Metazoa; Chordata; Mammalia; Rodentia; Dipodidae. The record is from Rfam by way of RNAcentral.
CCAAUAAGGACACCCUGGGAGGCCACUCUCUCCAGGCUCCAUCCAAGUGGCAUAGGGCUCUGCCUCCAUGACGGAUGUCCCCUUCUGCAAUGUUGGAGGUGAAGCUGGGCCUUUGAGUCUGUGCCUGCACAUUCCAGGGUCCUGUGGACAAUGAUGGAGGAGACAAAACAUUCAAAC